This 454-nucleotide long non-coding RNA is filed under the name Numida meleagris (helmeted guineafowl). Its description in RNAcentral is "lncRNA (ENSNMEG00000000105.1)". Lineage: Eukaryota; Metazoa; Chordata; Aves; Galliformes; Numididae. The record is from RNAcentral.
UUUGGGGCCUGGAGCUCUAUUGAUAUUGCAGCUUGGCUGCAAGGAGACAGAUUGAAAAUAAAAGCAUUAAAGAUCGUUUUUCACCUGGAUGAGCUCUGCCCUCCACUUCACCAUACAGCAAGUCAGAAGCAUGCCCUGACACAGUGCCAGGAGCAGCAGGGGUAACGACAAGCUGCCAGGGAGAGAAAAAGUCUCCUUGUCUAGUACUGCUGCCAUAUAGGUAACCGUGGUAUUUAGUGACUAGCUAACACUGAUAAUACUUAUCCCAUGCCUGCCCUCUUCCAUGGGACAUAGGAGGGCAUCUACGAUUUUGUGUCUGGCUGUACUGAAAAUUUUGUCACCUGAAAGGCUGUAGACUUUCAUGCCAGUCUUAGCAGUGGUAAAGAGGUAAGCAGGAAGGUGUUGAUACCAAAAGAGAGAGGAGGAUGUGGUGGUAGUAGCCAGUAUUACAGAC